UACCUGCAGCUCGAGUGGUAACCGCUAUUAUUGGGCCUAAAGCGUCCGUAGCCGGUUUGGUAAAUAUCUGGGUAAAUCGUGAGGCUUAACUUCACGAAUUUCGGAUAGACUGCCAGACUUGGGAUCGGGGGAGGUCAGAGGUACUCCAGGGGUAGCGGUGAAAUGUUGUAAUCCUUGGAGGACCACCGGUAGCGAAGGCGUCUGACUAGAACGAGUCCGACGGUGAGGGACGAAGCCCUGGGGCGCAAACCGGAUUAGAUACCCGGGUAGUCCAGGGUGUAAACAAUGUGGGCUUUGUAUUGGAGGUCCCACGUGGGCGUCCAGUGCAGAAGAGAAAGUUGUUAAAGCCCACCGCCUGGGAAGUACGGUCGCAAGGCUGAAACUUAAAGGAAUUGGCGGGGAGCACAGCAACGGGAGGAGCGUGCGGUUU
Molecule: ribosomal RNA, 430 nt
Filed under: uncultured archaeon
Lineage: Archaea
Description: bacterial SSU rRNA
Rfam family: Archaeal small subunit ribosomal RNA
Source: RNAcentral